Molecule: ribosomal RNA, 579 nt
Filed under: uncultured bacterium
Lineage: Bacteria
Description: partial 16S ribosomal RNA
Rfam family: Bacterial small subunit ribosomal RNA
Source: RNAcentral
UAGGGAAUAUUGGACAAUGGGCGCAAGCCUGAUCCAGCCAUGCCGCGUGAGUGAAGAAGGCCCUCGGGUUGUAAAGCUCUUUUGUCCGGAAAGAAAAGCAUCGGGCUAAUACCCUGGUGUUCUGACGGUACCGGAAGAAUAAGCACCGGCUAACUUCGUGCCAGCAGCCGCGGUAAUACGAAGGGUGCAAGCGUUACUCGGAAUUACUGGGCGUAAAGCGUGCGUAGGUGGUUUGUUAAGUCUGAUGUGAAAGCCCUGGGCUCAACCUGGGAAUGGCAUUGGAAACUGGCGGACUCGAGUGCGGUAGAGGGGUGUGGAAUUCCCGGUGUAGCAGUGAAAUGCGUAGAGAUCGGGAGGAACACCAGUGGGCGAAGGCGACACCCUGGACCAGCACUGACACUGAGGCACGAAAGCGUGGGGAGCAAACAGGAUUAGAUACCCUGGUAGUCCACGCCCUAAACGAUGCGACUGGAUGUUGGGUGCAACUUGGCACUCAGUAUCGAAGCUAACGCGUUAAGUUCGCCGCCUGGGGAGUACGGUCGCAAGACUGAAACUCAAAGGAAUUGACGGGGUCAUAGC